GAUUGAACGCUGGCGGUAUGCUUAACACAUGCAAGUCGAACGGAAACGAUACUAGCUUGCUAGUAGGCGUCGAGUGGCGGACGGGUGAGUAACGCGUAGGAAUCUGCCUGAUAGUGGGGGAUAGCCCGAAGAAAUUCGGAUUAAUACCGCAUAAUCUAUUCGUAGUAAAGUGGGGGACUUUCGAGCCUCACGCUAUCAGAUGAGCCUGCGUAAGAUUAGCUAGUUGGUAGGGUAAAAGCCUACCAAGGCAACGAUCUUUAGCUGGUCUGAGAGGAUGAUCAGCCACAUCGGGACUGAGACACGGCCCGAACUCCUACGGGAGGCAGCAGUGGGGAAUAUUGGACAAUGGGGGCAACCCUGAUCCAGCAAUACCGCGUGUGUGAAGAAGGCCUGAGGGUUGUAAAGCACUUUCAAUUGUGAAGAAAAGUUAACGGUUAAUAACCGUUAGCCUUGACGUUAACUUUAGAAGAAGCACCGGCUAACUCCGUGCCAGCAGCCGCGGUAAUACGGAGGGUGCAAGCGUUAAUCGGAAUUACUGGGCGUAAAGCGUGCGUAGGCGGUUUAUUAAGUCAGAUGUGAAAGCCCCGGGCUUAACCUGGGAACUGCAUUUGAAACUGGUCAACUAGAGUAUGGUAGAGGAAAGUGGAAUUUCUGGUGUAGCGGUGAAAUGCGUAGAUAUCAGAAGGAACAUCAAUGGCGAAGGCAGCUUUCUGGACCAAUACUGACGCUGAGGUACGAAAGCGUGGGUAGCAAACAGGAUUAGAUACCCUGGUAGUCCACGCCGUAAACGAUGAUAACUAGCCGUUGGGGGGAUUUACCCUUUAGUGGCGAAGCUAACGCGUUAAGUUAUCCGCCUGGGGAGUACGGCCGCAAGGUUAAAACUCAAAGGAAUUGACGGGGACCCGCACAAGCGGUGGAGCAUGUGGUUUAAUUCGAUGCAACGCGAAGAACCUUACCUGGUCUUGACAUCCUGCGAACUUUCUAGAAAUAGAUUGGUGCCUUCGGGAACGCAGUGACAGGUGCUGCAUGGCUGUCGUCAGCUCGUGUCGUGAGAUGUUGGGUUAAGUCCCGUAACGAGCGCAACCCCUAUCCUUAUUUGCCAGCACGUCAUGGUGGGAACUAUAAGGAGACUGCCGGUGAUAAACCGGAGGAAGGCGGGGACGACGUCAAGUCAUCAUGGCCCUUACGACCAGGGCUACACACGUGCUACAAUGGGAAGGACAAAGAGCCGCGAAGCCGCGAGGUGUAGCUAAUCUCAGAAACCUUUUCGUAGUCCGGAUUGGAGUCUGCAACUCGACUCCAUGAAGUCGGAAUCGCUAGUAAUCGUAGAUCAGAAUGCUACGGUGAAUACGUUCCCGGGUCUUGUACACACCGCC
RNAcentral lists this ribosomal RNA (1376 nucleotides) under uncultured bacterium. RNAcentral describes it as "bacterial SSU rRNA". It matches the Rfam family "Bacterial small subunit ribosomal RNA", at positions 27 to 1394 of the family's 1533-position model. The record is from RNAcentral.